CCUAAGGCUGCAGUGGGGAAUAUUGGACAAUGGGGGCAACCCUGAUCCAGCCAUGCCGCGUGUGUGAAGAAGGCCCUCGGGUUGUAAAGCACUUUCAGUGAGGAAGAACGCCUGGUGGUUAAUACCCAUCAGGAAAGACAUCACUCACAGAAGAAGCACCGACUAACUCCGUGCCAGCAGCCGCGGUAAUACGGAGGGUGCGAGCGUUAAUCGGAAUUACUGGGCGUAAAGCGCGCGUAGGUGGCUUGAUAAGCCGGUUGUGAAAGCCCCGGGCUCAACCUGGGAACGGCAUCCGGAACUGUCAAGCUAGAGUGCAGGAGAGGAAGGUAGAAUUCCCGGUGUAGCGGUGAAAUGCGUAGAGAUCGGGAGGAAUACCAGUGGCGAAGGCGGCCUUCUGGACUGACACUGACACUGAGGUGCGAAAGCGUGGGUAGCAAACAGGAUUAGAUACCCGAGUAGUC
Molecule: ribosomal RNA, 461 nt
Filed under: Vreelandella stevensii
Lineage: Bacteria; Pseudomonadati; Pseudomonadota; Gammaproteobacteria; Oceanospirillales; Halomonadaceae
Description: partial 16S ribosomal RNA
Rfam family: Bacterial small subunit ribosomal RNA
Source: RNAcentral